UUCCGGUUGAUCCUGCCAGAGGCGACCGCUAUUGGAGUUCGAUUAAGCCAUGCGAGUAGAAAGAAAUUAGAUUCUUUGCAUACUGCUCAGUAACACGUGGAUAACCUGCCCUACACUGGGGGAUAAUCUCGGGAAACUGAGGAUAAUACCCCAUAGACCACUACGCCUGGAACGGUGAGUGGUUGAAAGCUCAGGCGGUGUAGGAUGGUUCUGCGGCGUAUCAGGUCGUAGGGGGUGUAAUGGACCUCCUAGCCAUCGACGCGUACGGGUUGUGGGAGCAAUAGCCCGGAGACGGAUUCUGAGACACGAAUCCGGACCCUACGGGGUGCAGCAGGCGCGAAAACUUCACACUGCAGGAAACUGUGAUGAGGGAACUCCAAGUGACUGCACAUUGUGUAGCCUUUUCUUGAAUCUUAAUAGUUCUUGGAAUAAGGGCUGGGAAAGACCGGUGCCAGCCGCCGCGGUAAUACCGGCAGCUCGAGUGGUCGUCGCUUUUAUUGGGCCUAAAACGUCCGUAGCCUGUUUGGUAAAUCUGUGGGUAAAUCAACGAGCUCAACUCGUUGAAUUCUGCAGAGACUGCCAGACUAGGGACCGGGAGAGGUAUGAGGUACUCUGGGGGUAGGGGUAAAAUCCUGUCAUCCUCAGAGGACCACCUGUUGCGAAGGCGUCAUACUGGAACGGAUCCGACGGUCAGGGACGAAGCCUAGGGGCACGAACCGGAUUAGAUACCCGGGUAGUCCUAGGUGUAAACGCUGUGGAUUUGGUGUGUGGGGUCCGCAAUGGGCCCCAUGUGCCGGAGUGAAGAUGUUAAAUCCACUGCCUGGGGAGUACGGUCGCAAGGCUGAAACUUAAAGGAAUUGGCGGGGGAGCACUGCAACGGGAGGAGCGUGCGGUUUAAUUGGACUCAACGCCGGAA
Molecule: ribosomal RNA, 916 nt
Filed under: uncultured Candidatus Poseidoniales archaeon
Lineage: Archaea; Methanobacteriati; Thermoplasmatota; Candidatus Poseidoniia; Candidatus Poseidoniales
Description: bacterial SSU rRNA
Rfam family: Archaeal small subunit ribosomal RNA
Source: RNAcentral